GGUAAACACGAUGAAAUGGUGGGAGCUGUCAUCAGAAUUUCAGAAAGACCCGGCCUCUCUCUGAAGACACAAGGACAAACCCAUAUCCGCAUUCGCAUGUGGCUCCUGCCAGUUCAGCGCUCCCUCCCCAGAAAGCUGAUCUGUCGGAGUUUUUGUUCCAGGUUGUGGCUGUUGCAAAUCCAUUACAUCAGAUAAAAGAAGGGACGGAAAUCUGAUGCUGCCUCAGAUCCCGUUGGGGUUGUCAAAGAAGAGCGGAUGAAAAAUAGAGGAUUACUCCACUCUCGCCUUAUUAAGUCACUGCAGAUGGAGAGACCGUUGCAGCCAUAUGUCCCAGCCUCAGUCCCCCCUUUUUUUAAGUUUCCUAAUCUGAUGAAAUACGGUUAGGGGACAAAUCCUCAAAAACGAUGCCUUGCUCAGACUCGCACACUCAUAAGAAAAUAAAUAAAGCGAUAUUGCCCCAUGUUUAUGGUAAGUUUUAUACUUACAGCCCAGCAUUAAAAGGAAGGAAUGAUUCUCCCCUUUUUUAAAAUGGCUGAUGUACCCCAAAGCUUAUAUUCUUUUAAAGUGGUUUUAAUUUCCCUUUUUCAUACAUAUGAGUGACCUUACCACAAUUUAUGAGUAAAAGUAAUUUGCACAUCCUGCAAAUGAUGGAAAACUCAAAGUAUUGAUGAGAGUUUUGCCCUGUUAGUUUAUUUUCCUAAACUAGUCUCACAUUUUCUACAUUACUACUUUCAAAGCAAACAUUUCACCAAGUAGUCUGAUUGCCACAUUUUCUUUAAUAUGGGAGACACUGGAUUAUAGAUCAUCAGUGAAUGGUCUAUCUACAAAUUGGAAGCCACAAGUUACAUUUUCUUUGAUUUACCAUGGCAGCAAACUAUUAAAUGAGUAUGAGUUCUUGAUAACAAGAUUCAAUAAAAAUAACCUAACGAGGAUUUUGAUCUCAAGGUAUAAAAGCGCGAUUUGAUUCUGUUUAAAUAAAAUAAUAUUAAUAAUAAAUGUUUGCCAACUAAAUAUUAAUAACAUAAAUUUGAUUUGGAAUUGUUAUGCCAGAAUUAUUUGGUUUUUUUUGUAUUAAAUUGUUCAAUUUAGUUCUCUUUGUUUACUUACUGUAUUUUUUUUUUUUUGACAGAGGUGUGUUACCAUCUUGAAUAAGCCCAGAAGGGUCUCUGUAACACACCAUCACAUGAUUUUACUUUUUUUUUUCAAUUAUGCUUGUAUUUUUUGUCCUUUUUAUGUGUGUUAAUAAAUCAAAUCAAAUCAACAAAAGACUUGGAGAUAAAUUAAUCCGUCAAGCUUUUCUGCAAUCACAGCACCUCUAGAACUUAGGUGCAACAUGUUAGCUACGUUAGAAGCAUUUGCGUAUUCACAAUACCUUUAAUUCCAAACUUUGUAUGCUACACAUAAAAAAAAAAAAAAAAAAAAA
Molecule: long non-coding RNA, 1423 nt
Organism: Oryzias melastigma (Indian medaka)
Lineage: Eukaryota; Metazoa; Chordata; Actinopteri; Beloniformes; Adrianichthyidae
Exons: 3
Source: RefSeq, a predicted model, not a curated record